AACAUUUGUAGUUACUUUCCCUGUUAUUUUUAAUUCAUGUUUUUUUUUUCCCCAAAUUUGUGUAUGUGAAUGUGAAAACGCAAUUUUAAACCACUACUUAACAGUUGACAUUUUCAGGUAUAGAUACUUUUCAUGUUACCCUAUUUUAUUUGAUCAGUUAUCGUUUGCUCUUAUGAACAUGCUCACGCUGUGAUUACUAAUUCUUCAGACUCCUGACGUCAUGAAUCAUUUCACGAACGAAUCAGACCGGGCGCGUGGCCGGUUCUCUCAUCUCGUUCUCUCGUUCUCUCCGCGUUUUCGUUCUUCCGAAUCUUUCAAGGUACCGGCUCUCAAAGAGCCGGUUGGUUCUCUCGUUCUCUCCGCAUUUUCGUUCUACCGAAUCUUUCAAGGUACCGGCUCUCAAAGAGCCGGUUCUUUACAUCGCGAACGAAUCGCAAGAUUUCGUUCUCUCAAAGAUUCGUUCUUUUUGAACGAAUCGUUAACGAACGACCCAUCACUAGUUCCAUCAAGUGGAGCUUUUCUUCAAGAUGGCUGUCGUCAGGGGUGUUUUUGACCGUGAUUUUAACGAAUUUAUUGCGUAUGUGAGGGAUAAUCCAUAUGCACCUGCACCGAGGCGAUAUUUGAGGGAUGUGGAUAAUCCAUUAGAGUUUUUUAGCGACAGUGAGAUUGUCAGACGUUUUCGAUUUUCAAAGGAAACCGUAAAUGAUGUUAUUGUUCCACUUCUGACUCCAGACAAUGGUAAUAAUCGGGGCCUGCACUGCUGCUCUGCGAUUUAAUGAUUGUCUGUGGUGAUUAGAACCAUUUGAAUCAGUCUACCGUGUGCAGAAUCGUGAAGGUGGUAUCUCAAGAUCUGGCUGCACAUCUGCAAGAGUAUGUGCAUUUCCCUGGUGUUCAACAAGUCAGGGAAAACACACUUAAUUUUUUUGAAGUGGGUGGCUUCCCGGGAGUGAGUGGAUGCAUUGACUGCACUCACGUGGGGAUAAGCAGCCCAGGAGGUCAGUUUGCCGAACUGUAUCGAAACAGCAAGCAGUACAUGUCACUGAAUGUCCAGGUAACUUUGUAUUUGUGAAGCAAUAUGUAUGUGUGUGUAUAUAUUGUUACAUCAUUAAUAGUUUGAAUUUAGCUUUUAUUUUUGAAAUUUUUGUCUUCCUGCAAAGUGUUUAUGUUCUCAGGUUGUUAGUGGACCAAAUUUGGAGAUCCUGGACAUAGUUACAAGAUGGCCUGGCAGUACCCAUGACUCUCGUAUCUUCAAUAACAGUAGAGUCAUGGUUCGUUUUGAAACGAAGACUCUGCCUGGACAUCUUCUGGGAGAUAGAUAAUGGAUAUCCUCAGUUGGAAUAUUUGUACACUCCAUUAUUGGCCCCUGUAACUCCUGCAGAUAUCCAAUACAACACUGCUCACAAGAAAACCAGGAACCUGGUGGAACGAUUGUUUGGUGUUUGGAAGCGAAGAUUCGCAUGCCUUGGGCAUCUGCUGCGAACAAAGCUCCAAACAUCAAGCACAGUAAUUCUUGCUUGUGCUGUGCUGCACAACGUGGCGAGCCUCUGCCGCCUCCAGGCGAUGAGAACCAUCUGCCUGCAGUGCCUGUGGCAGAUGUGCAGCCCCGAAAAAACCGUGGAGCAGCAAUCCGAAGAGGGUUUAUUGAGCGACAUUUUGAUUAAAUUUAUUAUUAUGAAGUUAUCAUAUUUGGGUUCAGUUAACACAACUAUCUUGUCUGGACAAACUUUACUGAAAUUUGGUUUUGUAAAUACAUACAGUGUUUUUUACAUCCUGUAACUAUACACUAUGUUCAGAUGUCUAGUCCAUGUUAUAUAACUUGGGAAAGUUUCUACAUUUUUAAAUUGUUUAAUUCAAUGUAUGAUUUCAGAUGAGCCUACCAUGGUUUCAUAGGCCUCUUGGGGAAACUCUCCAUGUAAAAAAAAGAGUUAACGCAUUGGGCACUGUACCUCUUGAGACCUGUCUCAAAGGUGAUGUGGAAACCAGUGCAAAGCCCAGAAGAAAAGGAGUUCCAGUGGAUCAUGGAGAAAACUUGUGAGUUACUGUAAGUUUUUACCUUGUGUAUAGUUUUCGAUUUGUUUACUAUGUUCAGUAAGUUUAAAAUGUUUAUUUUUCUUAGCCCUAAAAUGUUUCAACCUAGGUUAUAUUCAUUUAUAUUUUGUUUUCAAUUUCAAGUACAUAUACACAUAAAAUAAAUAACAUUCACUCGCCAAUAAUGUGGUUGAAAUUACAUGUUGUCUGAUACACAUUAUUAUAUACAUGUUAUAUACAUAUCAGAUACUCUUUGGUGGUACUGCCAUCAAAAGAAACCAAGGGCACAUUAGAAAUAGGUCAUGUUUUUUUAAAGCAUUACAUACAUUGGAUUGAUGUUACGAGUAAUUGGACAAAUGUUAAUCUGUUAAAAUAUUUUACAUAUGGUACCAGUAAUUUCUGAGCUUGGCAGCUUUUAGGACACAAUAUGAAUUAUAAUUGUUAGGUCUGUUACAUUAAUAAUAUGCAACAGCUUUAUUAAACUGGUAAUUGAUCUAUGAUUAAUUUUUCUUAACAAAUCUAUACAACCUUAAGCUUUAUUUUAAAUAGGUACAAUAUUUCCAGUACUGCUUACAUACAAUAUAUCCAGAAACUUAGCAAAUAAGUGCAGUUUACAUUAACGGAAAAAAAAUAACCGGUACAAACCAUUGUCGUGACUUGCUGAAACAAUACAUACUUCAAGAAAAAUGCAUUGGUUUCGUCACCUUAUGAGGCAGGUCUAAAUGAGUGUAUAAAGGCAUUUUUCUCACAAUGUUUAUUUUACAUAUAUAUAAUUACAAACCUCAUUGUUAAACUUUUAACAAGAUUUCAAGUGUUGGUUGUAUAAUGACAGUUACAAUCACAAUCACAUUUGGUUAGCAAUAUUGUCACGUGCACCUAGCCGGUGCCACCGCCAUUUCUGUCACGUCUCACUUUCAGAGGGGGGAGAGAAUCGUAGCUCUUUACAUAGAAACAACUCGCUUGGCAUCAACUAGUCUUAACUUCAUAAAAUACUUUACUGUACCUAGGAUCAUAGGUUCGUCAUCCCGUACAGGAUGUCUGGUGAGAGCUGAACUAAGGAGAUUUUGCAAAAUAACAUAAUACUUAAUUAAAAUUAUUUUAUUCUUAAAGUCAAAUACUCAACAUCAUUUUAAAGAACAUUUAAAUAGCGGGAUUACAAUUUAAAACAAUAAUCUCUUUACUUCCUUAACGAUUGAACGACCUUACAAGAGAGAGAAUGAGAGAACUUCACUAAACACUUCCCUAGUCCUUCCGAAUACCUCAAAUCAUAACAAAGAUAAGUCCAUACUCACAUUUUCCGAAAAGCCUUUCUUGAUCGAUUACUUUAAAAAAAUAACGUAGGGGCCUCUCCUGCCCUUGAAAUCCCGAACGAACAUUACAUUUUAAAAACUAUGACGCGUGACCCCUGACGAGGGCCAUAGCCUCCGCCCGAAAGCUUGACGACUACAUUAUGACCUAACUUAAACUACAUCACGAACGAACUAACUAAACAACUCGUGGCCACAGGUGAGACGCAUAGCCUCCGCCUGAGUGAGCCUGAAUUCCUACAUCACGAACGAACUAACAACUCGUGACCACAGGUGAGACGCAUAGCCUCCGCCUG
Long non-coding RNA from Bacillus rossius redtenbacheri, 3631 nucleotides. RefSeq lists it as uncharacterized. Lineage: Eukaryota; Metazoa; Arthropoda; Insecta; Phasmatodea; Bacillidae. The transcript has 3 exons. The record is from RefSeq and is a predicted model, not a curated record.